AUUGAACGCUGGCGGCAUGCCUUACACAUGCAAGUCGAACGGCAGCACGGGUGCUUGCACCUGGUGGCGAGUGGCGAACGGGUGAGUAAUACAUCGGAACGUACCUUAUCGUGGGGGAUAACGCAGCGAAAGCUGUGCUAAUACCGCAUACGCCCUGAGGGGGAAAGCGGGGGAUCGCAAGACCACGCGCGAUUAGAGCGGCCGAUGCCUGAUUAGCGUGUUGGUGGGGUAAAAGCCCACCAAGGCGACGAUCAGUAGCUGGUCUGAGAGGACGAUCAGCCACACUGGGACUGAGACACGGCCCAGACUCCUACGGGAGGCAGCAGUGGGGAAUUUUGGACAAUGGGGGCAACCCUGAUCCAGCAAUGCCGCGUGAGUGAAGAAGGCCUUCGGGUUGUAAAGCUCUUUUGUCAGGGAAGAAACACCGGCUCUAACACAGUCCGGGAAUGACGGUACCUGAAGAAUAAGCACCGGCUAACUACGUGCCAGCCGCCGCAGUAA
This 501-nucleotide ribosomal RNA is filed under the name uncultured bacterium. Its description in RNAcentral is "partial 16S ribosomal RNA". It matches the Rfam family "Bacterial small subunit ribosomal RNA", at positions 29 to 523 of the family's 1533-position model. The record is from RNAcentral.